GGCCAGGGAGCCGCAGGCAAGGGACUAAGGGGAGGGGGGCUCAGUGCCAGCUGCUUAAAAAUGCCCCUGUGGCAGCGAGGGGCACCAGAGGCUGGGUCUAAUUAGUUGAGAAGCAGUGACACCCCCAACCACUCCCCAAACAGGCUGGCUCCCGUCUCCAGGCCCCAAGGAGCCACACCUGGACCAGACCCCAGGAAAGGCAAGGGCGCUAGCUGGUGGGAGCCACCCCGCCAUGCUGAUGUCAGAGAAGCAAGAACUCUGGAGAAGCAGCCUCCUGGGACCAGAGGAGGGCCAGCAGCAGGCAGCCCGGAGACAGAACUCUCACCCACGCCUCUCCAAGCCUCCCAACAGAAGACAGAGGUCCCCCACAGCCAGAGACAUUUCCUGAAGACAUGGGGAACACAGAGGCAGAAACAGCCCAUCCACCCAGGAGCUGUCCCCCACACUGCCGGGAGCCGGCACCCAGAGCCGCCAGGUAAAACUGAGGCCACCUGGUUCAACAUCACCUUUCACAGAAGGGGAAGCAGCCACAGAAAGAAGGGCCUCGUUAAGAAGUGGAACCUGGGACCCCCAAGCGGUGUCUCUCAUCCUGACUGGGGAUCCAGAGUAGGAGGGAGCCUUUGGUGGGGUUGGAGUCCCGCCACAGGCCACCAGAGCGGAGCAGCGCAGCGCCCUGUCUCCCAGCCUGAGGUGCAGUGCUGCAUCUCUGGUCAGUUGGGAGUCUGAGAUGAAGCACUGUAGCUCAGGAAGAGAGAAGUUGUUCUGCAGCCAUCAGCCUGGAAGUGGCUGGAUGUGGGAACUUCAGCACUGCCGUACUCUUGGGAAAUUUGUCCAAGGCCACCCGGCUGAGCAGCGGUUGAACCAGGACACCAUCAGGCAUGCGUUUCUUGUCUCCACCACACCCUCAACCCACUUCCCAACGCGCCUUGCGACAGGGGCUGCGGUAUUGCAUCCACAUGACUGAUAAACUAGUAAACACACAUGAAUUCAUUUUAAAAGUGUAUUCAAUCAGUUAGGUAAACUAAAAACCUUAAGUCUUCGUUCGAUUUGGAAUGCAGCCAGAGAACAAAUGGAAAAUUUUUCAAGGUAGAGAAGAUGAAAACUCAGAACGCCCUCUUGUGGCAUCUCUACCCACCCUAGGAACACUAUGGCUCUUCCCCUACACAUGGUGAUUGCUAACCUUGCUACAAGACGUUGGACACACACACACACACACACACACACACACACACACUGAGGUUCCUUUUGCCCCCUCACUUUUGAGCCAGUGACUACUGAAACCCUCUCCAUUGUUGCACCACCAGCAAUGCCCCCAUCACUUCCUCUCAUUUACUUCCACAGGCUGGUUCAUCCUCAAAGCCCUCCUUACGUAGAUCUGUGGGAUCAGUGAGGCUCAGAGAGGUAAAGUGGCCAGCCCAAGGUCGCCCAGACAGCAAAAGGCAGGGCCAGCGCUGAUUUCAAGUCCAAUGGCCUAUGGCAAUUUCUUAGCCAAAAGCAAAAUCUACAAAAAUAAAAAGUCAGGCACAGUGGUGAGUGCCUACAGUCCCAGCUACUGAGGAGGCCGACGGGGGAGGACCACUUGAGCUUGGGAGUUCCUGGCUGCAGAGAGCUAUGAUUGUGCCUGUGAAUAGCCAAUGCACUCCAGCCUGAGCAAGAUAGGGAGACCCUGUCUCUAAAAAAUACCUAAAUAAUUUUAAAAGUCAGCCUCUCUGACUGCCUAUAGAGAAUGCUAACUAACUGAAUGACAGAAGACCUAAUGUAAUCCAGGUGCAAAAUCAGAACUUUCCGGCCGGGCGCGGUGGCUCACACCUGUAAUCCCAACACUUUGGGAGGCCCAGGCGGGUGGAUCACGAGGUCAGGAGUUCAAGACCGGCCUGCCCAACAUGGCAAAACCCCGUCUCUACUAAAAAUACAAAAAAUUAGCUGGGCAUGGUGGUGGCCACCUAUAAUCUCAGCUACUCAGGAGGCUGAGGCAGGAGAAUUGCUUGGACCCGGGAGGCAGAGGUUGCAGUGAGCUGAGAUCGCGCCACUGCACUCCAGCGUGGGGGACAAAAGCGAAACUCUGUCUCAAAAAAAAAAAAAUUAGAACUUUCCCCGUACUCUUGCUAGGGCUUUUCAUGGAGAUGUAGAAAUGGUAGUAAGUGCCAAGGCCCCAGAACCCUCAUGUUUGGGUCCGACUCCCACAUUGCCAGAGACUAGGCAGCUCACACAGGUGUCCCAAGCUGUCUUUCUCACAGGCCGCAUUGAAGGCAUUUAUGAAAUGAGACCCCCUCUUCCUCAUCCGUAGUGACAGGGCUGGCCUGACCGUGGAGAAAUCAGAUUUGAUCAUGAUAGCUUCCACUCCGUGACUGGUCACGAUCUGCCAGGCGCUGUGCUAAACACUUUCAUAGGCCUUGUCCCCCUCCAUCCUGAUAACACCCCAGUGAAGCAGGCCCUGCUCUUCACUCCACUCCACAAAGCCAAGGCUGAGAGAGGUUAACAGACUUACCUAAGGUCACACAGCUAAGAAGUCGUGAAGCUGGGAUCGAAUCAAGUCUGUGUUUAUGGGUUUAACUAUCAUGUUGUGGCCCCAACCCCAUUUGACCUAGCCUGGCUGGUGGGCCUUCUUGCAGUAGCUUCCCCUGGAGAAGAGGAAAAGCAAACCUUCAUUGAGACCCAAGCGGUCUCUCCUGUGCUCUGUGACAAUAAUAAAGUUCCAGCCCUUGG
This 2706-nucleotide long non-coding RNA is filed under the name Homo sapiens (human). RNAcentral describes it as "non-protein coding CARMN:36". The stretch from base 675 to 758 matches the Rfam family "mir-143 microRNA precursor family". Lineage: Eukaryota; Metazoa; Chordata; Mammalia; Primates; Hominidae. The record is from RNAcentral.